CUGAAGCUCUUUGUCUGUUUUCAGUGACCAGCAAAGCCCUGGGAGAAAUUAAGGAAAAGUGAGAAGUAGCUUCCUGGUCAUGAAACAGGAACUAUAUAUGCCUCUCUGAAAAGAGAACCUUACUGGUAAACCACUAGUCUUGAAGCCAUACAUAGAUGAAUAGAAAUAGGUUAAUUUAAGAUGUAAGAGUUAGUUAAUAAGAAGCCUGAGCAAAUAGCCUAAACAGUGUUUUAAUUAAUAUAGUUUCUAUGUGGCCAGGCAGCCAAGAAACCAAUGAGCAGCCUCUGCCUACAGUUCUUCAACUAUCUACUCUUAGCUGCUGGGACACCAGCUGGACUCCAGGGCAAGAACUUAGGAAGGUGCAGAAGACAGAACUGAAUUCUGGGAGGAAGAAAGCAGAGUCGGGGAGAUGUCAUGGACCUGCCACCAACGAUAGACAUGCUGAGACUUUGCUGGGUGAAAUUAGCCAAGCAGGCAGGACGAACAAGCAGCGGGCCCUCCUCCAACAUAUCUCCAUUGUUUUCUACUAAUUUUCUCCUUUGUUUCUCUAUGUUAACUAGGUUUAUGAUGUCUAAGUUUCCCCCAGAGCAUAGAGAAGCAUUUGAGAUUUGUUCAUAUCUCUGAUGGAUAUACUAGAAAAGACCCAACAGUUUUCAAAGCAAAAAUGUAUUUUUAAACUAAAUAUAUAGUUUGUGUUUUCAGGCAGAAAACUUUCUUUUUUGUUAGUCUUUUUUUUUAAUAUCCUGCAAUUCUACUAGACUGAUUGGACACUGGUAAUCCCAAAUAGAUUUUAAGUCAUCAUGUUGUAGAAAUAGAGUGACCCAUGGACGUUUUCACUCAUUCACACCAUCUCCUGUAACCAUGUCAGCCCAGUUCACACCAUCUCCUGCAACUGUACUAGCACAGACACAACCAUACAUGUUAACUCAUAAUCUUGCGGGGUUUGUGUUAAAUGGCAGGACUGGGGAAUUAGACCACAUGGAGUAAAAAGCUGAGAAUAUGUACUAUUUGUCCCAUUAUAGAAAGAGA
Alexandromys fortis (reed vole) is the source of this 1029-nucleotide long non-coding RNA. RefSeq lists it as uncharacterized. The transcript is spliced from 3 exons. NCBI's taxonomy places the organism in Eukaryota, Metazoa, Chordata, Mammalia, Rodentia, Cricetidae. The record is from RefSeq and is a predicted model, not a curated record.